Molecule: long non-coding RNA, 1917 nt
Filed under: Salmo trutta (river trout)
Lineage: Eukaryota; Metazoa; Chordata; Actinopteri; Salmoniformes; Salmonidae
Description: lncRNA (ENSSTUG00000011819.1)
Source: RNAcentral
GUGGACGUUUAUUACAAGACAGCCUUUACACGUUGUGGUACAUGGUUGUGUACCAGUGAGGACUGUGGGAAUGAGGUUAUGAUAGAGGGUCAGACAGUGGACCAGGAGAUGUCUGGGGACUGGUGUCAGACAGAAGGAGUCUUUAAUGUUGACUUAUCCAGUAACACAGUCGACUUUUCUCUGCGAUUGAAUAGAAGUUUAUGGAUAGACAAUGAUAAUUCUGUUGUUGUUUGGAGGCUGUGGCCCUAUGUGGAUCUUGGGGUCAGGUCUGACACGGGGACAGUCAACCGAUCUCCACAGACCACUGUCAUACCUCUAAUGCGGUAAAUACUCCUACUGAUCAGUGUUAAGUGAUUUAGUUCAAUGAACAAGAGAUUUUAUCAAUCUGUGUGUUUUAUUCAGUCAAUAGAAAACAGGUCUGAAACACUGCAAUAAUCCCUCUCUCUCUCUCUCUCUCUCUCUCUCUCUCUCUCUCUCUCUCUCUCUCUCUCUCUCUCUCUCUCUCUCUCUCUCAGUGUCCCUGCUAAUUGUCAAAGAGAUUUCAACCUGUUGCUGUUUGAUCCAGAUGGGGAUCAGGUCAGAUGCAGAUAUGCAGUACCAACGGAUGAGUGUUACACAUCAAGUGACCUUCCUAAUGACUUCACUCUACGAGAGAACUGCACCUUGUCAUUUUGGGGCAACAGUAAUACCACUGGAACAUAUGCAGUUCAGUUAAUGAUGGAGGAUUUCCCUACUCAGUCCAUCUCUCUCUCCUAUACUGACGGAUAUCAAUCUAACAGGACCUCAAACGAUACACUCUGCAAACUACCUGUUCAGUUUGUAGUGAGAGUGGACCCCCCGGUGACAUCCUGUAUGGAGGGGUUGGACCUACCCAUGUUCGUGUCUCCAACACCAGCCCAGGGUACACUGCUGAACGCCUCUGCAGACCAACCCCUGGAAAUCAUUGUCAGAGCACAGGCUACCAACUCCACGGUUUCAGAGCUGUUGGUGAGUGGACCUUCCGGUAUCACAGAUAACACCACUGAUCCAGGAAAGUACCUUCUGAGAUGGACGCCCACUGAGGAUGAGGAGGGAGGGUACUAUCCUGUGUGCUUCAUCGCUCAGGGAGUGAACAACAGUUCCAAGUAUCACUCUGAGCUGCGCUGUGUGAUCGUCAGGGUUGGAAACACAAGCGCCAUCAUAACCACAGAGCCAACAACCUCUCUUCCUCUGACAAUAAACCUCACAACCACAGAGGAACCAACAACCUCCCCUCCUCUGACAAUAAACCUCACGACCACAGAGGAACCAACAACCUCCCCUCCUCCGACAACAAAUCUCACAACCACAGAGGAGCCAACAACCUCCCCUCCUCUGACAAUAAACCUCACGACCACAGAGGAACCAACAACCUCCCCUCCUCCGACAAUAAAUCUCAUAACCACAGAGCCAACAACCUCCCCUCCUCUGACAAUAAACCUCACGACCACAGAGGAACCAAUAACCUCCCCUCAUCUGACAAUUAACCUCACGACCACAAAGGAACCAACAACCUCUCCUCCUCAGACAAUAAAUCUCAUAACCACAGAGGAACCAAUAACCUCUCCUCCUCUGACAAUAAACCUCACGACCACAGAGAUUGCACCUGAACUUCCAACCACGCCCACAAAUUUCAGUACAUACGCAACCACAGCAUCCCCAACUUUAAGUACAAACCCAACCACCGAUCUCACAACCCAUAUUGUGGACAGUACAACAAAGAACAGUGGGCCUAGAUACGUUGUUGUACUGAGGAUAAAAGUGUCCUCUCUGAUCCCACUGACAGAUGAUUACAUCAGAAACGUGGUGUUUCAGCAGCUCCGUGUGGAACUGAUCAGACUAGGGCUGCCAGGGGACUUCAUGCUACGCCUGUUAGCCACUCAUGACAUCAGUCCCUGA